UGACUUGGAGUCAAGAUGUGCUGUACAGUUUGGUGCUGAGUGCUCUGGACGCCCCAGCAGGGCCGGAGAAAAUCUGCAGAGGCAGCAGCAACUGACCCUAACAGAGCAAGAGGCCUGACCUUCACACCUAUGUAACCCAAGGUCACAGAAAUGCUGAGGGGCCAUGUGACUCCAGUGAAGCAGGAGUAUCCAUCCAGCCACAGAGAUGGGACCUGUCCAAAUGGGACCUGUCUGUUCCAAAGGUUAUUCUGCUUGUUCUGGAGACUGGGAAUUCCAAGAGCAUGAUACCAGCAUCUGGCGAGCGUUAUCCCCUGGUAGGAAGUAUCACAUGCUACAAGUAAAGCACUUGGAAUGGUAGAGUGCUUCCCUCAAUGGAUGGAAGGAGACUGGAUCCCUCUGACACUGACUGGAAGAGCUCUGCUAAGCAAAGCUGCGAGCUCAUGAAAGACUGUGAGGAGAGUAAGAGGUAACCUUUUAUUGUGUUAAGUCAUUAAUGUCAGGGUUUACUUGUUACUACAGCAUGGCUUCCUCUAACACCUCCUCUUAUCAACUGCCUUUUCUGAGUCUUUCCUUGACUCAUGAUUUUGAGUUAACUUAGUAAACUUACCAAAGGCUGACUUUGCACCAAGAAUCAUUAUAGGUACUGGAAAAUUUAAAAGAUGAAGGAGGUGGAGUCAUUUUUUCCUAAGGAGCUGGGAGAGGAGAUAAGAAAUGGGAUCAAAUAAUGAACAACAAGUUUCAAAGGGAUCAGAGUCCAAUAAAACCUGCCGCCUGAGCUCUUAAGAGAGAAAUGGAAAUCGUAGUUGUGAACAUCAGGCUUUCUAGAAGUGGCUGUACCAACAUCAGCCUUGAAAGAGCUCAAUCCAGCAGAUCCUGUCCCACUUGGAACCUGGCUAUGAGUGAGAAAACAUCUGUGGUUGGAAAAUGGGGCUGGUGAUUCAGGCCUGUUUGGGAAGAAGAUGCUCUUGAAUGCUUUGCUCAACAAACACCUCCCUUCUGCAAGGAGGUGAGAGGUCAUCUGUCUGUCUACUUUGACACUUUCACCCACUGAACUUCAGGGCUUAAGACACCUUCCCCAUAAAUUGGAGUGAGCGCGGCACAAACUGUCCCUGAAUUUGACCAUAACUGACUCACCAAAGGUCUGAGUAGGGGAGAAGGCAAAAACAGACAAACAGGCACUGAGGACUUUGCCAUCCCAGACCUGUGUCAUGUAAACAGGCUGUCUGCUUCACAGCCAAGGAAUGAGCCCUGGACGUGGGUCGGAACUGGAGCCUUAACAGCUAAUACCCAGAGCCUUUGACUGUGGACGACUGUGUUCAAAGGGGCAGGCUGCCCACUACUAGGGCAUGGAGGAGAGGCAGGAUGUGGGGAAAGAGUGUGGUUUUGGAAUCAGACACAACUGGUCCCCGCCACUUACUCAGCCUUGUGACCUCAGAUGAAAAAGUCUCUUAUUCUUACUAAGGCUCAGUUUCCCCAACUGUGAAACUGACAUAACACUAUGGACUUCAAAAGGCUUUACAAGCAAAACAAUUUAUAAAACAAUUUAUUCAACAAUUUAUUCAGGCACUUAGCACAGUGCUAGCACAUAGAUAUAAGUAACAGUUUUUUUUCUCUGUUCCUUCUACGUGGAGGAGAGGCAUCUGUUGUCUCUUCAAGUUAAUUAAUUUGAAAAUAUCCAGUAGCAACCAUUUCUUAAAUUCCUCUUACGAGCCAUUUAGUUUUGCAACAACUGCAAGAUAGACAGUAUUAUUCCCAUUUUACAGAUAUGGACAUUGAAGCUCAGGAGGUACACCGGAUAUAGUGACUUUGAUCUUCUCAUUGCCCUGACACUGAUGAGAGAGAGAUAACAAAAUCAAAAAGAACAGUUGGAGGAAUAAAUGUCAAAUAUAGGAGGCUGGAAGCAUAGUCUCUAACCUCAGUCUAGCCUCGGAUAAUAGCAUUUUCAUCUUGCUACAGCAGUAGCAGACACCAGCUGGGUGCCUUCUCCCUAUUUUAUUCAUUUGUAUGUUCAUUGAGCAAUUUAUCUAUUGCUAAUUCCUUAGCAAGCAUUUACUGUGACCUUCCUUUUAUUAUUACUAUUAUUAUUAUUCAUUUUAGAGACAGGGCUAUGCCAUUAUGUUGCCUACGCUGGAGGGCAGUGGUUAUUUACAGGUGUGAUGCCGCUACUGAUCAGCAUGGGAGUUUUGACCUGAUUCAUUUCUGAUCUGGGCCCAUUUGCCCCUCCUUAGGCAACCUGUGAUGCCCCACUCCCAGGAAGUCACUGUAUUGAUGCUGAACUUAGUGUGGGCACUUCAUGGGCACAGCACACUACAGCCCAGAACUCCUGGGCUCAAGUGAUCCUUCCACCACAGCUUUUCCAGCAGCUGGGACUACAGGUACAUGCCAUUGUGCUCAGCUACUGUGUACUUCCUAUGUCCUCAAAUCCUGCUACUCAAAACAUAAUUCCUAAGCCAGAAGCAUCAGCAUCACUGAGAGCUUAUUAGAAAUGCUGAUUCUCAGGCCUAACCUCGGACCAACUGAACCAGAGAAUCUGCAUUUUAACAAGAUCCCUGGGUGAUUCACAGCAUAUAUGAAAGAUUGAAAAUUGCUAUCCUUGAUGCUUUUCUUUUUUUUUUUUUUUUUUUGAGAU
Molecule: long non-coding RNA, 2629 nt
Filed under: Homo sapiens (human)
Lineage: Eukaryota; Metazoa; Chordata; Mammalia; Primates; Hominidae
Description: HSALNT0354348
Source: RNAcentral